RNAcentral lists this ribosomal RNA (456 nucleotides) under uncultured Streptococcus sp. RNAcentral describes it as "bacterial SSU rRNA". It matches the Rfam family "Bacterial small subunit ribosomal RNA", at positions 925 to 1382 of the family's 1533-position model. The record is from RNAcentral. Lineage: Bacteria; Bacillati; Bacillota; Bacilli; Lactobacillales; Streptococcaceae.
ACAAGCGGUGGAGCAUGUGGUUUAAUCGAAGCAACGCGAAGAACCUUUACCAGGUCUUGACAUCCCGAUGCUAUUUCUAGAGAUAGAAAGUUACUUCGGUACAUCGGUGACAGGUGGUGCAUGGUUGUCGUCAGCUCGUGUCGUGAGAUGUUGGGUUAAGUCCCGCAACGAGCGCAACCCCUAUUGUUAGUUGCCAUCAUUCAGUUGGGCACUCUAGCGAGACUGCCGGUAAUAAACCGGAGGAAGGUGGGAUGACGUCAAAUCAUCAUGCCCCUUAUGACCUGGGCUACACACGUGCUACAAUGGUUGGUACAACGAGUUGCGAGUCGGUGACGGCGAGCUAAUCUCUUAAAGCCAAUCUCAGUUCGGAUUGUAGGCUGCAACUCGCCUACAUGAAGUCGGAAUCGCUAGUAAUCGCGGAUCAGCACGCCGCGGUCGAAUACGUUCCCGGGCCUU